AAAGCACCCAAACAGUAACUACAAACUUCAAAUUUGAGCUCUAACAAGCAUAGAACAGACCAUAGGCAAGCAAUCUAAACCUCUCAAAAUACACUACCAAAUUUAGAAAAUUUAACCCCUGGAAGUAAAAUUAAAGCAGCAGAGAGCAUACCCUUUACUUAGAAUUGUGAAACCACUAAACCUCAGAUCGAACCAGCUUCAAUCCCACCAUUCGCCUCUGCAAGAAAAAUAACACCAAUUUCACCAAAAGAUUGAAUCUUUGACCAAGUACCCUUUCUGGGAUUCAUCAAAAAGCUAAAAAAUUCCAAGAUUUUAUUUCCAGAACCUAAAAGAAAUUGUAAAAUUUCAAAAUUUAAAGGAAA
This 362-nucleotide long non-coding RNA is filed under the name Panax ginseng (ginseng). RNAcentral's name for it is "long non-coding RNA (PGIN_LNC015647)". Lineage: Eukaryota; Viridiplantae; Streptophyta; Magnoliopsida; Apiales; Araliaceae. The record is from RNAcentral.